This 394-nucleotide long non-coding RNA is filed under the name Homo sapiens (human). Its description in RNAcentral is "non-protein coding lnc-MTO1-2:1". Lineage: Eukaryota; Metazoa; Chordata; Mammalia; Primates; Hominidae. The record is from RNAcentral.
AUCAUUCAACCACAUUAAUUCACCCAAUAUGUCCCAAGGAGUAGCUGUAGCCUUAGUGAUCCAGAAACACAAAAGACAGGUCGGUCAGGUCCUUCACCCUCUGGAGGGCAGGUGGGGGUGGACUGAUGGCACUGGAGGGGACAAGUGUGAACAGAAAGUGAUACGUAUUUCAGUAUGGUAUUAACAGGCCCCCACAUCCUUUCAACCUUGAAAUAUGAGGUUUCUGGGCAGCUAAGAAAAGGGAUGUCUUACAGGGUUGGGGGUGUCUAGGACUGAGCUUAUUGUCUUGCUUUGCCCAGGACAGUUACAGAGCUGGGAAAGGGAGGGGGAGGAGCCCCAUCCUCCAGGAGGGGGAGCAGCACCUGGGGUCUACUAGGGAACAGCUCACCCACAC